This 311-nucleotide long non-coding RNA is filed under the name Zea mays. RNAcentral describes it as "drought responsive lncRNA". Lineage: Eukaryota; Viridiplantae; Streptophyta; Magnoliopsida; Poales; Poaceae. The record is from RNAcentral.
GCCACCGGAGAAACCACGGAGUAGAGAGAAAGAGAGCUCGUCAUCGCGAGAAAAGGGUGAGAUAGACGCCACCGAUGCACUCGUGUGUGCCCAACCAUUCAGGCCCCACUGCUGGCGCUGAACCUUUCUAAGGCCUCCUUGGGUUGUUGCGCGGUGACCUUGGACACGGAGGCGACCUAGGAUCUCGGGGAUUCCUCGCCGGAAUUGGAGAAGCCGUCGUGCUCAUGCUCUGCCGUGGCCAGGGAUAGCGGCGCUGCGAUUCACGACGGGCAAGCAACUAAGGACCCAGGUGCUCAGCAGUUGGAAAAUAC